Molecule: ribosomal RNA, 164 nt
Filed under: Rheum palmatum
Lineage: Eukaryota; Viridiplantae; Streptophyta; Magnoliopsida; Caryophyllales; Polygonaceae
Description: 5.8S ribosomal RNA
Rfam family: 5.8S ribosomal RNA
About the family: 5.8S ribosomal RNA (5.8S rRNA) is a component of the large subunit of the eukaryotic ribosome.
Source: RNAcentral
AGAACGACUCUCGGCAACGGAUAUCUCGGCUCUCGCAUCGAUGAAGAACGUAGCGAAAUGCGAUACUUGGUGUGAACUGCAGAAUCCCGUGAACCAUCGAGUCUUUGAACGCAAGUUGCGCCCGAAGCCUUCUGGCCGAGGGCACGUCUGUCUGGGCGUCACGC